UCUCCUGUAGCUCAGUGGUAGAGCGUCCGACCGGUGUGCGGAAGGUCAUAGGUUCGACUCCAGUUGGGGAAA
RNAcentral lists this transfer RNA (72 nucleotides) under Desmophyllum pertusum. RNAcentral's name for it is "Lophelia pertusa tRNA". It matches the Rfam family "tRNA". From Rfam's summary of the family: Transfer RNA (tRNA) molecules are approximately 80 nucleotides in length. Their secondary structure includes four short double-helical elements and three loops (D, anti-codon, and T loops). Further hydrogen bonds mediate the characteristic L-shaped molecular structure. tRNAs have two regions of fundamental functional importance: the anti-codon, which is responsible for specific mRNA codon recognition, and the 3' end, to which the tRNAs corresponding amino acid is attached (by aminoacyl-tRNA synthetases). tRNAs cope with the degeneracy of the genetic code in two manners: having more than one tRNA (with a specific anti-codon) for a particular amino acid; and 'wobble' base-pairing, i.e. permitting non-standard base-pairing at the 3rd anti-codon position. The record is from Rfam by way of RNAcentral. Lineage: Eukaryota; Metazoa; Cnidaria; Anthozoa; Scleractinia; Caryophylliidae.